UAUGUGAUCGUCUCUCGCAUAUCAAUAAGCGGAGGAAAAGAAACUAACAAGGAUUCCCCUAGUAACGGCGAGUGAAGCGGGAAGAGCUCAAAUUUGAAAUCUUAAAGGGUUUCCCUUUACGAAUUGUAGUUUAAAGAAGUGUUUUCUGUUGAGGUUUUGGUAAAAGUUCUUUGGAAUAGGACAUCAUAGAGGGUGAGAAUCCCGUAUUUGACCUUUACUUUCAACUUUGUGAUACACUUUCAAAGAGUCGGAUUGUUUGGGAAUGCAGUCCAAAGUGGGUGGUAAAUUUCAUCUAAAGCUAAAUAUUGGCGAGAGUCCGAUAGCGAACAAGUACCGUGAGGGAAAGAUGAAAAGAACUUUGAAAAGAGAGUUAAACAGUACGUGAAAUUGUCAAAAGGGAAGCGUUUGACACCAGUGUUGUUUUUCUGAAAAUCAAUUAAAGAACUGUUUAUGCUAAGCUGUUUAGACUUUAUCAGCUAUCUGUUUAGUUUUGAGCUUUUCUUUAAUGCACUUUUCAGUUAACAAGUCAACAUCAAUUUCUUUUGCUGUAAAAAAGCUUGAGGAAGGUGGCUUGAGAUUCGUCUUAAGUGUUUAUAGCCUCUUGCCUAUGCAGUCGGAGAGAUUGAGGUCUGCAGCGUAGAUCCUUCGGGGCUAAAUGCAUUUGUGCUAAGUUAUAGCAUUUUAUAGACAACUUGUUGACUAUGAUUUGUCUUGUAGCUUACUCGCUUAUGUUAUUUUACCUACGCUUAGGAUGUUGAGCGCAUGUCUCUCUCU
This 774-nucleotide ribosomal RNA is filed under the name uncultured Neocallimastigales. RNAcentral describes it as "partial large subunit ribosomal RNA". It matches the Rfam family "Eukaryotic large subunit ribosomal RNA", at positions 24 to 616 of the family's 3401-position model. The record is from RNAcentral. Lineage: Eukaryota; Fungi; Neocallimastigomycota; Neocallimastigomycetes; Neocallimastigales.